ACACUCAUAGCUUAGUGGUUAAGGCAUUAGUCUUAUAAGUGAAAGGUCUAAAGUUCCAUUCUUAUUGAUAGCA
Ipomoea nil (Japanese morning glory) is the source of this 73-nucleotide transfer RNA. It matches the Rfam family "tRNA". Rfam says of the family: Transfer RNA (tRNA) molecules are approximately 80 nucleotides in length. Lineage: Eukaryota; Viridiplantae; Streptophyta; Magnoliopsida; Solanales; Convolvulaceae. The record is from Rfam.